This is a long non-coding RNA of Chanos chanos (milkfish), 570 nucleotides long. RefSeq lists it as uncharacterized. The transcript has 3 exons. Lineage: Eukaryota; Metazoa; Chordata; Actinopteri; Gonorynchiformes; Chanidae. The record is from RefSeq and is a predicted model, not a curated record.
CAUAAUGGGGUCCGAGGAGAAGAACGGAGCUCUGACGUCUUUACCCAAACACUCGUAUUGGUUCGACUUCUGGCUUUUCGUAUUAUUCGACAUCGCGUUUUUCCUCUUCAUGUAUUUCAUUGUGCCAUAACUGGAACACAUUCCAGAUGAGCACCGAAAACUCAGUUACCCCCAGGGAUCACAUCAGCAGGGUGGGAACAGCAGAUUCUCCAGGUCUAGGGUGGUUCUGGCCCUCAGACAGACCCAGAUCACACACGUCUCCUGAGCUUCAAAUGCUGCACGCGACGCUACGUUCAUCUGUUUACUCACAACAGAGUGUUUCCCCGGGGUGGUUCUGUAUCUAACCCAAAACAUGGACAGAAAUUCAGAUUUAAAAAUGGAAUUAUUAAAAAAAAAAAAGGAAAAAAAAGCCUUUUGUUGUUUGCAUCAGGGCCUCUCAUGUGCUGAUUGGACAACUGAGUGGAGAAUGAUUGUGAACAUGUAAUGAAUGGACCAAUAAAAGGCUUCAUGCUGUAUUUGCACUGUAGAGUGUUCUGGAACACUGUUGAAAUAAAUGUUUGUAUUUUGGUG